CUUCGGGGGAAAGAUUUAUCGGAGUUGGAUGAGCCCGCGUUGGAUUAGCUAGUUGGUGGGGUAAAGGCCUACCAAGGCGACGAUCCAUAGCUGGUCUGAGAGGAUGAUCAGCCACAUUGGGACUGAGACACGGCCCAAACUCCUACGGGAGGCAGCAGUGGGGAAUAUUGGACAAUGGGCGAAAGCCUGAUCCAGCCAUGCCGCGUGAGUGAUGAAGGCCCUAGGGUUGUAAAGCUCUUUCACCGGGGAAGAUAAUGACGGUACCCGGAGAAAAAGCCCCGGCUAACUUCGUGCCAGCAC
Molecule: ribosomal RNA, 300 nt
Filed under: uncultured bacterium
Lineage: Bacteria
Description: bacterial SSU rRNA
Rfam family: Bacterial small subunit ribosomal RNA
Source: RNAcentral